This 1333-nucleotide long non-coding RNA is filed under the name Homo sapiens (human). RNAcentral's name for it is "non-protein coding LINC01124:12". The record is from RNAcentral. Lineage: Eukaryota; Metazoa; Chordata; Mammalia; Primates; Hominidae.
ACACACCCUCGGAUUGACGUGCGCACGCGCACCGGUUACCUUCAGGAGCGCCGAAGAAGGAAAGAAGAUGGAGUUGAGCUCUGUCGCCCAGGCUGGAGUGCAGUGGCACCAUCUCAGCUGACUGUGACCUCCGCCUCCUGGGUUCAAGUGAUUCUCCUGCAUCAGCCUCCCGAGUAGCUGGGACUACAGGUGCACACCACCAUGCCCGGCUAAUUUUUGUAUUUUUAGUAGAGACGGGGUUUUGCCAUGAUGGCCAGGUUUGGUCUCAAACUCCUAACCUCAAGUGAUCCACCCUCCUCAGCCUCCCAAAGUGCUGGGAUUACAGGCGUGAGCCACUGCGCCCCGCCUACUUGAAUUUUUUUUUUUUUUUUUUUUUUUGAGACAGAGUUUUGCUCCUGUUGCCCAGGCUGGAGUGCAACGGCAUGAUCUCGACUCACUGCAACCUCUGCCUCCUGGGUUCAAGUGAUUCUCCUGCCUCAGCCUCCCAAAUAGCUGGGAUUACAGGUGCCCACCACUGUGCCUGGCUGAUUGUAUUUUUAGUAGAGAUGGGGUUUCAUCAUGUUGGUCAGGCUGGUCUUGAACUCCAGACCUCAGGUGAUCGGACUGCCUCGGCCUCCCAAAGUGCUGGGAUUACAGGCAUGACCCACUGUGCCCGGACCUGCUUGAAUUUUUAUGAUGAGCAUGUUGGCAGAUCACGACUGCCAGCUCCGUGACAGCAAGAACCUUGUAUGACUUUUUCAUGAUGGAUGUUCAUCUGUGCCAUCUGUAAAUAUUGAAUAAAUAUUUGUGGAAUACAUGAAUCUAAAAGUGAAUGGAAUGAUAAAGAGGGAAAGGGUCAUGACAUCUACUACAGCAUUUGGCACAGACCCAGCUGUCUGCAGUACUAUCAAGAGAUGACAUGGACUUCAAGGAUCAAACAGGGGAGAAAAAGGCUUAAAAGAAAAACAAGUCUCCAUCAAAGUCCUCCUGACAUCUUAAUCUAUCUGCCAACGCUACAUGCCGUCAAGCCAAGGAAGAAUUUCCUUCUCACUGUUGCUUCUCUGACCAAGGAAGACAUAAGCACAACCAAUCACCAGACUGAUGAAAUUCCUUCCAGUUUCAGAAAAGAUUAUCACCAAUCCCUACAUUAUAAAAUUCAUACUAAUAAAGCACAAACAUUGAAUUCUAACAUUAUAUGCUAUGUGACAAGACUACUUAAUUGUAUGUGUGUAUGUGUAAUUAUUUUCAAGUUAACCAUCUAAAUUUUACCUGUACAAGAAAGCAGUUAUUAGGCAUGUGAUAGAUGCACUGUGUUAAUUAACGUGGCCUUUCACAAGCCCUGUAGAGACAGCCC